GACGAACGCUGGCGGCGUGCUUAACACAUGCAAGUCGAACGGAAAGGCCCUGCUUUUGUGGGGUGCUCGAGGGGCGAACGGGUGAGUAACACGUGAGUAAGCUGCCCUUGCCUGUGGGGUAACUUCAGGAAACUGGGGGUAAUACCGGAUAGGAGCUCCUGCUGCAUGGUGGGGGUUGGAAAGUUUCGGUUGUUGGGGAUGGACUCGCGGCUUAUCAGCUUGUUGGUGGGGUAGUGGCUUACCAAGGCUUUGACGGGUAGCCGGCCUGAGCGGGUGACCGGCCACAUUAGGACUGAGCUGCGGCCCAGCCUCCUACGGGAGGCAGCAGUGGGGAAUAGUGCACAAUGGGCGGAAGCCUGAUGCAGCAACGCCGCGUGCGGGAUGACGGCCUUCGGGUUGUAAACCGCUUCCGCCUGUGCCGGAGCGUGAGUGACGGUAAUGGGUAAAGAAGCACCGGCUAACUACGUG
This 468-nucleotide ribosomal RNA is filed under the name uncultured bacterium. RNAcentral's name for it is "partial 16S ribosomal RNA". It matches the Rfam family "Bacterial small subunit ribosomal RNA", at positions 28 to 507 of the family's 1533-position model. The record is from RNAcentral.